This 568-nucleotide long non-coding RNA is filed under the name Heterocephalus glaber (naked mole-rat). RNAcentral's name for it is "lncRNA (ENSHGLG00000033675.1)". The record is from RNAcentral. Lineage: Eukaryota; Metazoa; Chordata; Mammalia; Rodentia; Bathyergidae.
UGCAGGAGUCCAGUCCUGUCUUUGGGGAGCCAAGCUAUAGGGUAUCACUCUUGUUCACUUUAAGCCUUAUUCCUCAUAAAGGAACUGAAUUUGUGUAGGUGGACUGCACCAUAGAUGCGCUUUUCUAAGCCUAUUGCACUUAUCUCAGCAGAGCUGUUGUUUGCCUCCUAAUAAGCAAUUUGGUGUCUUAUCAUGAGCUCUGAGGCCCUCCAAAGAUCAUUUCUAUAAUGACAUCUUGUGGAAGCAAACCUCUGUAAAACUUUUGGAAGCAGGAAAGACAUGUCUCUAGGGGACAAACUCCUAUAAAAAAGAAUCACCACAUUUACCUUGAAGCUUGACAGCUCGUGGCAUGAAUGGAGGCUUGAAUCUACAGAGGCACAAUGAGGGCAGGUGAUUCCAGAGGCCUCCAGGGAGAAAUGCACCAGUGUAAUGGAGCAGUGGAUGCUGUGAACUACAAUAGCUGGCCUCCUGGAUCAUCACAACAGAGAAAAGAGAUGAUGACCUGUGCACAGGUUUUUGAAAACAUCCCCCUGGAGCUAACAAAUCACUUCUAUUUGCAUGGCUGUGG